RNAcentral lists this transfer RNA (73 nucleotides) under Cavia porcellus (domestic guinea pig). It matches the Rfam family "tRNA". From Rfam's summary of the family: Transfer RNA (tRNA) molecules are approximately 80 nucleotides in length. The record is from Rfam by way of RNAcentral. Lineage: Eukaryota; Metazoa; Chordata; Mammalia; Rodentia; Caviidae.
GGGGAUUUAGCUCAAUGGCCUAAGUGCCUGCCUGGCAAGCAUGAGGUCAUGAGUUUGAUCCCCAGAACCACCA